Canis lupus familiaris (dog) is the source of this 2106-nucleotide long non-coding RNA. RefSeq lists it as uncharacterized. Lineage: Eukaryota; Metazoa; Chordata; Mammalia; Carnivora; Canidae. The record is from RefSeq and is a predicted model, not a curated record. The transcript has 5 exons.
CAUAGAUGAGUCACAAUGGGAGCCGCAGAGAGGAGACAGGCUCUCCUUCUGAGGCCCCAACUUCUUUCCCACCUGCUGGACACCAAAAGCCCUGGUAGGACCUUUCUUAGGGCCAUUCAAGAUGGAGAAACUGAGGACAAAGUGGUAGCAUCACCUCUUAUUUAAUGGUCUGCCCUUCUUGUCAUUGGAGGUGAGGUGGCUGUAAGGGCUCAGCGGCCAAGUCCAGGGACAUUCCCCCUGAAGACACUGGUCUGGCUGGUGCUGGCUCCUCUGAAGUUGACCUGCUUCUAAAGCUUUGCCUUUCUGGAAGAUGCUUCAAUGCACUUAGAGUGUCUUAACAGGAUGUUAAAUAUACCACUGCUCCCAUGUGAGAGCCUUUAAAAAUCUUUUGACAUUUUCCAGCAGAGUGCCUGAGUGCAAUCAUCAGGAAAAAACACAAGAAUGAUGAGAAAAAAAUUAUAAAUCACCCAUUGCAGGAGAAUCGGCUUGCCCUCCAGUUCUCCUUUCAUGGGCACCACGGUGAUCCUAUACUCUGUCCCAGGCUGCAGACCUGCAAACAAACAGCCAAGCGGUUUGAAGGACUGUCCUUUGUGAUGCAGAUAUCCAGCCUGCGGCAAAGGACAAGCCAAGAGCAGCAUGUGGCAGGCACAUACACUGCUCCCCACUCUGCAAACACUGGGAAUCCAAGAUGCCCUUUCAAGAUGGAACUCACAGAGUGGACCGCAGAAUGAGGCCCCAGAGGAGGACAUCACCAUGGAACCAAUAAGCCUCAGGGUCCCCUCCCCUGCAUGGGCCACUUCCAAGGGUAUUCACUUGGGUAUUCAUGAUUGUGUAUUAUUUCCCUUAAAGGAAGCUAAAUUCUAUAGCUUCAGGAGUCACAAAAUGUGAUCCCAACCACAUACACACACACACACACACACACACACACACACACACACACACUUCUUCCAAAAGGCAUGUCUGUGCCAGCAUACCCACCCUGAGACACAGACAGGGUUUUCCAAGAGCACACUGGGCUUAUAAUCGGUUCCCCGGGCGCUCUGAGAUUCCAGAGUCAGCUCUGGGAUGCUAGAGCACAGUCUGAAGGCCCACAGAAUGGGCUCUUAUCCAGGACUUUCAGGGUCAGAGUUCAAGUGAUUCCUUAGGGUCCCAGGACUUUCUGUGUACACUGUCCCCACCUCAGCAUCCACAGCAAACAUCUCACAUCCCCAGUGUUGGCUCUUACCAGUGAUGUCAUAUCGGCUCUUGGGGUCACUGCUCUUGGGCACGGUGACCUCGGCCACCUCCUGUCCUGUUAGGGGGCCAUACUGCAGCUUGUAGUAGUCUACCUCAGUCGGGGGGUUCUCCCAUUCCACAUCCAGAGAGUUCUCAGUCUCAUCUGUCACCCAUGCGGUGCCAAGCACAGCAAGAUCUAGGGCAGGGGCCAGAGAAAGCAAAAGAAAGCAGUGAAGGGCAGAGGUCCAGCAGGUCUGUAACAGGCCACUGGCUACCGGUCAGCGCCCUCUCAUGACACAUGACACACUGAGAACAUGCUUCAGCCCAGGACACCAUCCUUGACAGGUGUCUUAAAACUCCAUAGUAGCAAAAAAAACCUGUUGGCUCUCAUAUUACCCACAGAGGACAGACUAUCUUCUGCGAAAGCCUCCUCUCUCCCAUUCCAUCCCAUCCCAUCGGAUGCCAUGCUGCCCUCCCUGUCCAAGCUGCCAUGGGCCACGCCCUGGACCAUACCUCUCCAGCCAAUCCUCCAAACUGCCAGGCUCAGGGGUCAGGCUGCUCCGAAUGAAAUACACCCUUUAGCUGCAGAAUGCUGCCCUCAAAGACUCAACCCCAGUAUGAGAAGCACAGCUUCUCCCACGUAAAGUAUGGGAAACGCAUCUGAAAUUUUCUGGAGUAUGAUACUGAUAACAGGGACGCCUGGCUGGCUCAGUGGUUGAGCAUCUGCCUUUGGUUUAGGGUGUGAUCCCAGGGUUCCAGGAUCGAGUCCCGCAUCGAGUUCCUAGCAGGGAGCCUGCUUCUCCCUCUACCUAGGUCUCUGCCUCUCCGUGUGUCUCUCAUGAACAAAUAGAUAAUACAAUAAUACAACCAGUCUCUUCCUUUGUCUCCCAA